UCUGAGUACUACACAGGAGGAUUCUACAUGCCAGAUGCUGUGGUCCUUGUAAGAUCCAUCCAUGCCAGCACAGGAGAGAUAUGUUUCUUCUUAUGUCUAGGAUGAACAGCACAUUAACAACUCCCCGGUGGUGACAAUUAGGGGCAAUUUGUGAACUAAAAUUGGCCAGUUGCCUUAUUACUUUGGAGGUGACAGUCUACCACUUCAAUCUUCUUUAAAUCCAUGCUUAAGACCAAGCCUGUCUGCUGGAAGGAUUUUCUGCAUUGCACGUUUGUCUUUUCGAUGCAGAGCUGCGACACAGUGGGAAGAAGAAGAGAUUCAAGUCCUACUGAGCCAUACAUGUUGGAUACUCAUUCUCAGUACUUCACUCAGGAUGAAGAGUCAUGUACCUU
Molecule: long non-coding RNA, 392 nt
Filed under: Mus spicilegus (steppe mouse)
Lineage: Eukaryota; Metazoa; Chordata; Mammalia; Rodentia; Muridae
Description: lncRNA (ENSMSIG00000012021.1)
Source: RNAcentral